Molecule: long non-coding RNA, 2001 nt
Organism: Oncorhynchus tshawytscha (Chinook salmon)
Lineage: Eukaryota; Metazoa; Chordata; Actinopteri; Salmoniformes; Salmonidae
Source: Ensembl
GUGAGGAGGGGUAGGGAUGGAAGAGGAUUGAGGAGAGUUAGGGACGAGCACUACAGGACACCUUAGUAUACAAAGUGCAGGGGCAAUACUUUCUACGACAAAAUAAAAAGUUACAGACUGCAGCUUUAACAUGCACUUUUCCAGUGUUUUACUGUUCAAAUAAGAUAUUUUUUACAGAACAUUUUCAGGAAAAAAAGAGACAAGACACAUUGUAAUGGAUAAUUUGUCUCCAGCACGUGGGGGCAGCAGUCCCAAGAGAAGACCCUGCUUCUGCGAGGCGCUGCCCAUUAGCCACUAUUUAUUUACAAUUCACAAAGUAAUACAGGAAGAAGUUUCUCUUUCAAUACAGAUCAAUCCUCUUCUCUAGCUUUUCCUCAUUUUCAUCACAUCAGAUUCACCCAUCCCCCGUUCUUUCAGUCUUUGGUUUCCACUCCCAAACAUGGCAUACAGCAGGAAACACUCCUACAUUCAGUUAUCUUUUCUCUCAGCAACUCCUUUAAAGGGGAAGUUCAGUAUUUUAGGAGCUAGCGGUUGGCUAACGUUUGUAGCGGUUGUUUAAAAAGCCCUGAAGCAUUGAUACGUUUCUUCUGGCCCCAUAGACUACUUUCAGGAUGAGAAACCAUCUGACAAAGUUGGAAAAUAGUGAACUUCCCCUUUAAGUUAACUGUUAACAUAUUCAAAACGUUGUUCGCUACUUGUGUAUUCAGUAUGUUGUAGUAUGUUGUUUCUACCUAUAGGUUCUAUAGGGUGCCGUUCUGGGUGGCAGUUUCUACCUAUAGGUUCUAUAGGGUGCCGUUCUGGGUGGCAGUUUCUACCUAUAGGUUCUAUAGGGUGCCGUUCUGGGUGGCAGUUUCUACCUAUAGGUUCUAUAGGGUGCCGUUCUGGGUGGCAGUUUCUACCUAUAGGUUGUAUAGGGUGCCGUUCUGGGUGGCAGUUUCUACCUAUAGGUUCUAUAGGGUGCCGUUCUGGGUGGCAGUUGGUUAGUCCCCUAACUUCCCCCCCAAAAUGCCAAGUCUUUCCAACAGGUCAUUGUUGGGGAUUCAGGAUGCUCUGCUUUCCCCCCUACUGAUUACAGGAACAUUCCUGGAUAAACUGAGAAGUUCCCAGAAUUUUUCAACCAUAAUAAUGAAGGAACCUAUAUAUUAAAUCUUCACUUAUCAGGUCGGUUCCAGAACACUUGGCUGAAACUCUACUCCUUUACAGAUAGAAUGGAGUUGAUCUAGGAUAAGAGUAGUCCUACUCACACAUGUUCUUCUCUGUGAUCAUAUGGCUUCAGAAAUGAAGGGUCCAGCAGGACUUUGUAUUUGUGCGUUUGACUCAUGGCGGCUGAUUCGAAGGCCGUGUGUACGUAGUAAAUGUUGCUAAAAGUUACCAUAGUAUAAGUAACCACAUGUGUAUAAGUUACUAUUUAAAUGAUUAGUUACCAUAGGAUAAGUAACUACAUGUAUGUAAGUUACUAUUUAAAUGAUUAGUCACCACACAUAACUGUAAAUGACUAUAAGUGCUAGAAAGUGGUGCGUGGUUAGAAGGUUCCGUCCCAAAUGGCACCGUAUUCCCUAUAUAGUGCGCUACUUUUGACCAGAUCCAUAUGAGCCGUGAUCAAAAGUAUUACACUAUAUAGGGUCCAAGAUGUCAUUUGGGACACUACACGCACUCUCAAGGGAAAGGUCUUCUGCUCCCUGUGGGUCCUGGCCAAAAGUAGUGCACUAUAAAGGGGAAUAGGGUGCCAUCUGAAACAAAGCCCAUAAAUCUCAACAGUCUGGUAGACUAGAGGUGUAGCACACCUUCCGACCUUCCUCAGAGGUGCUGUCCCAAAUGGCACAUUAUUCUCUAUAUGGUGUCCUAGCGCUUUGCACUCAGUGAUCUAGCGCUUUGCACUCAGUGAUCUAGCGCUCUGCACUCAGUGAUCUAGCGCUCUGCACUCAGUGAUCUAGCGCUCUGCACUCAGUGAUCUAGCGCUUUGCACUCAGUGAUCUAGCGCUUUGCACUCAGUGAUCUAGC